Molecule: unclassified non-coding RNA, 335 nt
Filed under: soil metagenome
Description: partial contains 5.8S ribosomal RNA, internal transcribed spacer 2, and large subunit ribosomal RNA
Rfam family: 5.8S ribosomal RNA (bases 1-120)
Source: RNAcentral
GAUGAAGAACGUAGCGAAAUGCGAUAAGUAGUGUGAAUUGCAGAAUUCAGUGAAUCAUCGAAUCUUUGAACGCACAUUGCGCCCCUUGGUAUUCCAUGGGGCAUGCCUGUUCGAGCGUCAUUUGUACCCUCAAGCUUUGCUUGGUGUUGGGUGUUUGUCCUCUCCUUUGCGUUUGGACUCGCCUUAAAGCAAUUGGCAGCCAGUGUUUUGGUAUUGAAGCGCAGCACAAUUUGCGAUUCUAACCGACUACACUUGCGUCCAUAAGCCUUUUUUAACUUUUGACCUCGGAUCAGGUAGGGAUACCCGCUGAACUUAAGCAUAUCAAUAGCGGAGGA